AUUGAACGCUGGCGGCAGGCCUAACACAUGCAAGUCGAGCGGAUGAAGGGAGCUUGCUCGUGGAUUCAGCGGCGGACGGGUGAGUAAUGCCUAGGAAUCUGCCUGGUUGUGGGGGAUAACGUCAGGAAACGGGCGCUAAUACCGCAUACGUCCUGAGGGAGAAAGUGGGGGAUCUUCGGACCUCACGCUAUCAGAUGAUCCUAGGUCGGAUUAGCUAGUUGGUGGGGUAAAGGCCUACCAAGGCGACGAUCCGUAACUGGUCUGAGAGGAUGAUCAGUCACACUGGAACUGAGACACGGUCCAGACUCCUACGGGAGGCAGCAGUGGGGAAUAUUGGACAAUGGGCGAAAGCCUGAUCCAGCCAUGCCGCGUGUGUGAAGAAGGUCUUCGGAUUGUAAAGCCCUUUUGGUGGGGAGGAAGGGCAGUAAGUUAAUACCUUGCUGUUUUGACGGUACCAAAAGAAUAAGCACCGGCUAACUUCGUG
RNAcentral lists this ribosomal RNA (484 nucleotides) under uncultured bacterium. RNAcentral describes it as "partial 16S ribosomal RNA". It matches the Rfam family "Bacterial small subunit ribosomal RNA", at positions 30 to 507 of the family's 1533-position model. The record is from RNAcentral.